UGGGGAAUAUUGGACAAUGGGCGAAAGCCUGAUCCAGCCAUGCCGCGUGUGUGAAGAAGGUCUUCGGAUUGUAAAGCACUUUAAGUUGGGAGGAAGGGCAGUAACUUAAUACGUUGCCGUCUUGACGUUACCGACAGAAUAAGCACCGGCUAACUCUGUGCCAGCAGCCGCGGUAAUACAGAGGGUGCAAGCGUUAAUCGGAAUUACUGGGCGUAAAGCGCGCGUAGGUGGUUUGUUAAGUUGGAUGUGAAAGCCCCGGGCUCAACCUGGGAACUGCAUUCAAAACUGACAAGCUAGAGUAUGGUAGAGGGUGGUGGAAUUUCCUGUGUAGCGGUGAAAUGCGUAGAUAUAGGAAGGAACACCAGUGGCGAAGGCGACCACCUGGACUGAUACUGACACUGAGGUGCGAAAGCGUGGGGAGCAAACAGGAUUAGAUACCCGUGUAGUCCCUGAGCGGGCUGGCAAGGCGCAU
Molecule: ribosomal RNA, 472 nt
Filed under: uncultured bacterium
Lineage: Bacteria
Description: bacterial SSU rRNA
Rfam family: Bacterial small subunit ribosomal RNA
Source: RNAcentral